RNAcentral lists this ribosomal RNA (200 nucleotides) under uncultured bacterium. RNAcentral describes it as "partial 16S ribosomal RNA". It matches the Rfam family "Bacterial small subunit ribosomal RNA", at positions 8 to 238 of the family's 1533-position model. The record is from RNAcentral.
AGAGUUUGAUCCUGGCUCAGAACGAACGCUGGCGGCAGGCUUAACACAUGCAAGUCGAGCGCCCCGCAAGGGGAGCGGCGGACGGGUGAGUAACACGUGGGAACAUGCCCAAAGGUACGGAACAACUCAGGGAAACUUGAGCUAAUACCGUAUGCUCCGGUAACGGCAAAGAUUUAUCGCCUUUGGAUUGGCCCGCGUCC